CCUUUCUCCUGGAAGGUCGGGGCCACACCGUUUCCAAGAGCGCGCGCUCAUUCGGGGACCGGCGGCUCGAGGUCAGAGCGUGCUGUGGGCUGUUCCAGAUUCACGAGGCUUUCUGGGGAGAAAGACACGAAUUCAGGGAAACGGAGACGCAGCUACAAUCUGGCACAAAUCUACGGAAUGUUGGGACUCUGGUGGAAUGACCGGGGACCCGGCCAGUGCUCCGCUGGGACUUCUUGGAGCCAGAGGCAGAAGGUUACAAAUAUAUUGAAAGGAAAAGUCAGAUACUCUACGUAAGGCAAUGAACAGACUUUAAACCACCAAUGGUAGCCAGUAGCUAUUACCUCAGAGAUUCAAAAGCUUGUGCAGGAGCAGCCCUGAUAUAGAUGAUACCCAGAUGAAUAUAUAGAACAUUUUCAGAAUCUCAAAAAUCUUGCUGUGCCUUCUCCCACUGCAUAGUCCCAGGCCAAAGCAUCAGCAGAGUGGCAGGAAGAAAAAGCUGGAGCCUUAAAGGAAUCUAACCUUGAAAGAGUUUAUUCCCAAUGGAACAUUCUACUCAGCUUCCUGCAAGAUUCUACCUUCACCUGAGGUGACCUAGGCUCCUAUUUUCUCUGUUCGGAGAACUCACUGCAAAGACAUUCAUGUGGCACCAGACCUACUUUCUCUUCAGAAAAGUCACCUACACAAGCCUCCUUUCGUGGAUAGCUUUCCGGACCGGUUACAACAAGAUCCUUUCUCUGAGGAGUGGGUUAGAGCAGCCAAGGAGGCGGACAUCUUAUAGUUCAUGGAGCUAGGAAGAUGCUUCUCAGUGCACCUUUGAGAUCCACUAAGUCAUAGGUCACUCUGGCCUCCUUGCUUCUGGCUACCACCCUCUGACUGGACGUUUUCCAAGGUUCCAAGUGAUGGCUUCAAAAAAGUUUCAGCGAUGUGAAGACCUGGACAGUGGCCUCCUGAAUGACUGCGGGAGUAUCCCCAUAACACAGCCAUGGGUCCAUCAGGCUGUCCGUGACCCUGCCCUACUCUCUCCCUCUGGGGGCGUGUUUCCUCAGGUUAGCCAGAAAGUCCUCCUGCAUCCCCUGCUCCCUGAAAAAUUUCUCUCAAAGAAAUGUUUCCAUAAAAUCAGAGGAAUUGAAA
RNAcentral lists this long non-coding RNA (1131 nucleotides) under Equus asinus (donkey). RNAcentral describes it as "lncRNA (ENSEASG00005030880.1)". The record is from RNAcentral. Lineage: Eukaryota; Metazoa; Chordata; Mammalia; Perissodactyla; Equidae.